RNAcentral lists this ribosomal RNA (910 nucleotides) under Lactiplantibacillus plantarum. Its description in RNAcentral is "bacterial SSU rRNA". It matches the Rfam family "Bacterial small subunit ribosomal RNA", at positions 9 to 873 of the family's 1533-position model. Lineage: Bacteria; Bacillati; Bacillota; Bacilli; Lactobacillales; Lactobacillaceae. The record is from RNAcentral.
CGGGUGUAGGAAAGGCCUUAAUCAUGCAAGUCGAAACGAACUCUGUGUAUUGAUUGGUGCUUGCAUCAUGAUUUACAUUUGAGUGAGUGGCGAACUGGUGAGUAACACGUGGGAAACCUGCCCAGAAGCGGGGGAUAACACCUGGAAACAGAUGCUAAUACCGCAUAACAACUUGGACCGCAUGGUCCGAGUUUGAAAGAUGGCUUCGGCUAUCACUUUUGGAUGGUCCCGCGGCGUAUUAGCUAGAUGGUGGGGUAACGGCUCACCAUGGCAAUGAUACGUAGCCGACCUGAGAGGGUAAUCGGCCACAUUGGGACUGAGACACGGCCCAAACUCCUACGGGAGGCAGCAGUAGGGAAUCUUCCACAAUGGACGAAAGUCUGAUGGAGCAACGCCGCGUGAGUGAAGAAGGGUUUCGGCUCGUAAAACUCUGUUGUUAAAGAAGAACAUAUCUGAGAGUAACUGUUCAGGUAUUGACGGUAUUUAACCAGAAAGCCACGGCUAACUACGUGCCAGCAGCCGCGGUAAUACGUAGGUGGCAAAGCGUUGUCCGGAUUUAUUGGGCGUAAAGCGAGCGCAGGCGGUUUUUUAAGUCUGAUGUGAAAGCCUUCGGGCUCAACCGAAGAAGUGCAUCGGAAACUGGGAAACUUGAGUGCAGAAGAGGACAGUGGAACUCCAUGUGUAGCGGUGAAAUGCGUAGAUAUAUGGAAGAACACCAGUGGCGAAGCGGCUGUCUGGUCUGUAACUGACGCUGAGGCUCGAAAGUAUGGGUAGCAACAGGAUUAGAUACCCUGGGUAGUCCAUACCGUAAACGAUGAAUGCUAAGUGUUGGGAGGGGUGUCGCCCCUUUCAGUGCUGCAGCCAAACGCAUUAAGGAUUCCGCCCGGGGUGAGUUACGGGCCGCCAAGGA